AUACGGAGGGUCCAAGCGUUAUCCGGAUUCAUUGGGUUUAAAGGGUCCGCAGGCGGGAAAAUAAGUCAGUGGUGAAAGCCUACAGCUCAACUGUAGAACUGCCAUUGAUACUGUUUUUCUUGAGUAUAGAUGAAGUGGGCGGAAUAUAUCAUGUAGCGGUGAAAUGCAUAGAUAUGAUAUAGAACACCGAUUGCGAAGGCAGCUCACUAAACUAUUACUGACGCUCAGGGACGAAAGCGUGGGGGGCGAACAGGAUUAGAUACCCUAGUAGUCC
This 274-nucleotide ribosomal RNA is filed under the name uncultured bacterium. RNAcentral describes it as "partial 16S ribosomal RNA". It matches the Rfam family "Bacterial small subunit ribosomal RNA", at positions 523 to 796 of the family's 1533-position model. The record is from RNAcentral.